This 378-nucleotide ribosomal RNA is filed under the name uncultured bacterium. RNAcentral describes it as "bacterial SSU rRNA". It matches the Rfam family "Bacterial small subunit ribosomal RNA", at positions 29 to 440 of the family's 1533-position model. The record is from RNAcentral.
AACGAACGCUGGCGGCAGGCUUAACACAUGCAAGUCGAACGCCCCGCAAGGGGAGUGGCAGACGGGUGAGUAACGCGUGGGAAUCUACCCAGUUCUACGGAAUAACACAGGGAAACUUGUGCUAAUACCGUAUACGCCUACGGGGAAGGAUUAUCGGAGUUGGAUGAGCCGCGUAAGAUUAGCUAGUUGGUGGGGUAAUGGCCUACCAAGGCGACGAUCUUUAGCUGGUCUGAGAGGANGAUCAGCCACACUGGGACUGAGACACGGCCCAGACUCCUACGGGAGGCAGCAGUGGGGAAUAUUGGACAAUGGGCGCAAGCCUGAUCCAGCCAUGCCGCGUGAGUGAUGAAGGCCUUAGGGUUGUAAAGCUCUUUCAGU